Molecule: long non-coding RNA, 3936 nt
Organism: Taeniopygia guttata (zebra finch)
Lineage: Eukaryota; Metazoa; Chordata; Aves; Passeriformes; Estrildidae
Source: Ensembl
GGGAAGGAAAACAUACAGGAGUAAGAACCUGAUGCGUUGGCAUUCCACCAAAAUCAGCUGUCCGUGGGUGAGGAUCCUGAAGUUUGGGAAUGUUCUCUUUGCUGCUCCAACCCCAGGAGAAAGUAGAGAAAAUGAGAGUGUUGAGACCACUCUUCCCAGUCUGCAGCUACCUCUCCUCUGUGCUCAGGAAUUAUUAUUAUUAUUAAACAGACCGUUCCAAAGCAAAGCAAAUAUUGACAGUAAGUAAGAAAGCAAAUGCCAUUGUGCUUCUGGGUGCUGGAAGAGAGGAGAGAGACGAUGAAGAGCAGAAGGAAAUGAGGCUCUGGAAAGAUUUAGGGAGGAUUAGAUUUGUUUCCCAGCCCUCUCAGCAUCUACACUCUCCUUUUCUGGGAUUUGGGGCUUUCUGCUGGAGACAGGAACAGUGCAAGUGCAGAGGAAGGGCACACUGCAGUGCCAUGCAUUUGUGACAAAAAAAACCCCACCUCAUAUUAAAGCUGCAGCCUAUCCUACCACUUCUGGAAUACCAUCCCUGUUUUGUCUGGCCCUCUGAAUCCUCUUGGAGGCAGCUUCUGACGUGGGAGGCCUGCGAGAGCUCCCGAUGCGAUGAACAAAACCCACCUCACGCCUGUAGACAAAAAAUUCAAACCUCAUUUGUGUCUGCUGAGCGAACAAACCACAGCUAGUGAAAUCCCCUCACAAAAGGACAUUACAGGAAUGAGAACCACCUCCUUCAAAGCACAGCUGGGGUCAAGCACAGCCAUUCGUGCUGUGCCCCUCUGCGGGCACGGGGUGACAAGUCUCUCGUGGCACAGGCGGGAGGGAGCUCCCUCACACCCUGGCAGAUAAGCCAAGGAAGAUUUAAUUUGGUUUUUCCAGGGAAAAGACAGACACAGACACACAGAGGCACGCAGCAGGGAUGGUCUCCUGCUGCCUCCCCGGGGAGCAGAGGAGCUCUCAGCCAUCACUGCCGCUGAGUGGAGUUCCCUUUGUGCUCACAUUCGCAGCAGGAGGGGACACUCAGGCAGUGCCAGCGUGGCCGUGGGCUCUGUCCUGCCCUCUGUCACUUGUGACGUGCAGGAGCCCAGCAGGGAGGAUUUAUUGUGGUCUAAUAUCCGUGCCAGUGAAACCAUCCCCAUCCCCAAGGCUUGACCAACCUCUCUUGCUAUUGUGUAGGAUCUCCUCCUCACCACCAUCACACAUCCUUAGGGAAUGCAGUUGGGAGCUGCUUUUCUUUUCUCACGUUUUUCAUUGUUUUUCCCCCCAGACAGCGAGAUGAGAAGCACAGAGAAAUCUGAAUAGCAAAGCUGGGGCCAGGGAGCACAUCUGCACCAGUCAGCGUCCAGAUCUGAUCACAGAAUCACGAAGGUUGGAAAGGGCCUCCAAGAUCAUCCAACCUGUUAUGGAUCACUGAGUGCCACAUCCAGCUGUUCCUUGGACACCUCCAGGGAUGGGGACUCCAAACCUCCCUGUCAGACCCUUGCAAUGCCUGACAACCAUUUCCAUGAAGAAAUUCUUCCUGAAUUCUUCCUGAUGGUCCAUGACAGCCCCUGACAGUCUCCCUUACCCAAAGGCAACCACGUGAGCAGAACCACGUCCCACACACAGGGAAAGGUCCCCAAACUGCUGGGGACAGAUGAUGAAGAAUCUCACAAUUUCCCACACUGUUUUUCACCCUAUAGCAGGUGUAAUUUCAAGCUGUGCCAGGUGCCUGCUCACAGUCUGGCUUUGCAGCGAAGGGUAUUUAAAAGUCAAAGGGUGGUUGGGAAAAGACGUGUUUUGUAUUAAAAGGAUGAAGUUCAUUCAGCUGAGCUCAGUCUGGGCUCCUUGAGCAGGAGGACAAGAGCUCCUUCACUAUCUGCACCCACACGAGUUCAGCCUUUGUGAUUUUUUUUUUUUUUCAGUAUCAGUUAACUUUCUUUUCUGAACAAAAUAUAAAGUGGCACUUUUUUGCCAUUUUAGAAGUGUUGAAAUGGGAUGAUUCACCAGUAUCUUUCAUUCUUUCCUACAGAAAUGUUUGCUGUCAUGUUUCUUGUAAAAAUUGACUUAUUUAUGGGAGCGUUUCCUGCAAAGAAUUUCAGUUUCAUUAAAGCAGUUUUAUGAUGAGGAAGCAAAUAAUCAGAGAAUACCUGACCUUACCUAGUGUGUCUCAUCUCCCCUCGUUAGUACUGAGGAGCUUUUCUGACACAGUGGCAGGUGUGGGAGGGCUGGAUUGCUGUUUGCCAUGAUUCUGGCCGGGACUCAAGGAGUAAUCAGGGAGACAGGACCCUAGCCCAGACCAGGAAAGAAGCAAGAGAGAAUUUUAGCACCUUUCCCCUGCCUCUCCUCUGUCUGCAGUGUCAGCAGCAUCACUGCUGUGAUUUUGCACUGCUUUUCAAGAGACUUUUUGAUCCCUGGGGGAACAACUGUGCCCUUCAAGCCUGUGGUUUGAAAGUCUAGAAGUGCAAAGAGGAAACAAAGCAAAGACAAGAUUUCAUCUGGUUCUGAUGCAGAGUCAAACCAAGCCAUUCAUGCAUUGCAGUUUCUAUCAGCAAUCCAUGUGGAGCACAACCCACAAGCACUGACAUCUGGUGAGUGUAUGACCGGUGGACUUUCUCCAUAGAAAAUCCUGGAAUAUUCUGGGGCAAACAUGUUCGGCCUUUUAAAAUUGCCCUUAAGUACCCAUAGUGCUGCCUCCCCCUAAUGCUUUCCUCAGGAAAGGAAAGUCUUCUGCUAGAAGCCUGGCACAAAGGGAGAGGAAAAAACCUGAGGAACCAAAUGAAUGCAGGUGACAAAGAGUGGCUGUGAGGGAGGCAGAGCCUCCAAUGUCUGAAUUCAGUGUCAGAGCUGAAGCCAGCUCUGCAUUGGCUCAGGGCAGGGGACUGUUCUGUGUCAUUCUGCAUUGAGUGUUGGUGGGAUUUUAAGGUUUUCAUCCUGGUUUGACACCAGUUCUGCUGUUUCCAGACUGGCUGAUUUGUGGCAGGAAUCUCAGAGGAUGUGCUGAACUGCCUCUCCUCACCCAUCUUGUCUUGCUCCUGAGGGCAGCUUAACUAACUCACCUGAAAGGUUAUUUAUUUGGCAGUAAAAGCCACAAAGAAAACAGAGCUGCCUAAUGAAGACAACUUUGUGACUCUGGCCCGUUUUUAAUUUUAAUGUUGCAUGUAAUCUCCAUUCUGGUCUCUGGAGUUGUCAGUGGUUUUACAGCUCCUGAUUAUAUGAGUGCAGCAGGCAGAGACAGCUCAGUGGAAGAGCUGGGAAAGCAGCAUUAACAACAGCCCAACAGCCCCGGGGGAAUCCAGCCCGGGAGCUGAGGAAUUGUCUGCACCAUCAUUGCAGUGACACAAAGCACAGGCUGAGCAAGCACUCUGUGGUGGUGUCCUUUUCACAACCUACCUGCCUGCUUAUUUCUAGGUAUCCAAAUAGCUCUGAGCCUGAAACACAAGGGAAGAGGAGACUGCAUCCAUGGAGAGAGUGACAGUUCACUGUGUGUUACAGACAGGAAACUCUUACAGAAAUAAAGAGGGUACCGGGGAUUUGCCCAUGGGUACAGAAAGGAGGGUCAAGCUUGCAGCCAGCUUUGGAAUCGUGGGCUAUCCAACACUGUUCAGCUCCUUAUCACCCAGGCUGUCUGUGCCAGUGAAGGAUCCCAUUGAUAACAAGGAGCCAGCCUCCUCUCCAGGGCACUGUCCUGCCAAUAAAGCCCUCCAGAGUCAUUCACCUCCUCCCACCAGACAGGCCCAGUGCUAAGCAGCUCACAGACUGGAGAGUAAAUCUAUUCAGAGCCUAAGGAUUUUCUGACAGGAAGAUGCAUACAGAGCCAGAAGUUCCCUUCCCAACAUGAAUAGAGGCAAACACAAAAGGCCAGGCACAUUAAAAUGGGCACUGUCUGGAGCCCCAUGUCCUCUGCUGUCCUUCACGGCCACAUCUCAUGCCUGCAGGAGCCUCAGGCUCUCUCUUUCC